This 253-nucleotide ribosomal RNA is filed under the name uncultured bacterium. Its description in RNAcentral is "partial 16S ribosomal RNA". It matches the Rfam family "Bacterial small subunit ribosomal RNA", at positions 524 to 776 of the family's 1533-position model. The record is from RNAcentral.
UACGAAGGGGGCUAGCGUUGCUCGGAAUCACUGGGCGUAAAGCGCACGUAGGCGGAUUGCUAAGUCAGGGGCGAAAUCCUGGAGCUCAACUCCAGAACUGCCUUUGAUACUGGCAACCUUGAGUCCGGGAGAGGUGAGUGGAACUGCGAGUGUAGAGGUGAAAUUCGUAGAUAUUCGCAAGAACACCAGUGGCGAAGGCGGCUCACUGGCCCGAUACUGACGCUGAGGCACGAAAGCGUGGGGAGCAAACAGG